RNAcentral lists this ribosomal RNA (441 nucleotides) under uncultured bacterium. RNAcentral's name for it is "partial 16S ribosomal RNA". It matches the Rfam family "Bacterial small subunit ribosomal RNA", at positions 338 to 795 of the family's 1533-position model. The record is from RNAcentral.
CCUACGGGUGGCAGCAGUGGGGAAUAUUGCACAAUGGGGGAAACCCUGAUGCAGCGACGCCGCGUGAGUGAAGAAGUAUUUCGGUAUGUAAAGCUCUCUCAGCAGGGAAGAAGAAAGACGGUACCUGACUAAGAAGCCCCGGCUAACUACGUCCCUGCAGCCGCGGUAAUACGUAGGGGGCAAGCGUUAUCCGGAUUUACUGGGGGUAAAGGGAGCGUAGACGGCUGUGCAAGUCUGAAGUGAAAGCCCAGGGCUCAACCCUGGGACUGCAUUGGAAACUGGCAAACUGGAGUGUGUGAGAGGAUAGUGGAAUUCCAGGUGUAGGGGUGAAAUCCGGAGAUAUAUGGAGGAACAUCAGUGGCGAAGGCGACUAUCUGGCACAUAACUGACGCUGAGGAGCGAAAGCGUGGGUAGCAAACAGGAUUAGAUACCCCUGUAGUC